Molecule: ribosomal RNA, 253 nt
Filed under: uncultured bacterium
Lineage: Bacteria
Description: partial 16S ribosomal RNA
Rfam family: Bacterial small subunit ribosomal RNA
Source: RNAcentral
UACGGAGGGGGCUAGCGUUGUUCGGAAUCACUGGGCGUAAAGCGCACGUAGGCGGAUCUUUAAGUCAGAGGUGAAAUCCUGGAGCUCAACUCCAGAACUGCCUUUGAUACUGGGGAUCUCGAGUCCGGGAGAGGUGAGUGGAACUGCGAGUGUAGAGGUGAAAUUCGUAGAUAUUCGCAAGAACACCAGUGGCGAAGGCGGCUCACUGGCCCGGUACUGACGCUGAGGUGCGAAAGCGUGGGGAGCAAACAGG